This 224-nucleotide long non-coding RNA is filed under the name Carica papaya (papaya). RNAcentral describes it as "long non-coding RNA (CPAP_LNC003698)". The record is from RNAcentral. Lineage: Eukaryota; Viridiplantae; Streptophyta; Magnoliopsida; Brassicales; Caricaceae.
UGAAACUUCCUAUAUGCAUAAUUAUUAAGCCAAAGUGAUGAUUAGGGGAGACUAAGACUGUGCAUUCUGCAUAUAAUUAAUGUAGGUGCGGGACUUACAAUCCUUAAAGUGACACUUAUAGCAACCAAAAGAGACACAAGAGGUGCAUUCUAUAUUUCGGAUCUAUUGUACACCCUCUGCAGAUUUUGUAACUUGCCUUACCUCUCGUAAUGCCAGUCGAGGCA